Molecule: ribosomal RNA, 492 nt
Filed under: uncultured bacterium
Lineage: Bacteria
Description: partial 16S ribosomal RNA
Rfam family: Bacterial small subunit ribosomal RNA
Source: RNAcentral
AGUGAACGCUGGCGGUAGGCCUAACACAUGCAAGUCGAACGGCAGCACAGUAAGAGCUUGCUCUUACGGGUGGCGAGUGGCGGACGGGUGAGGAAUACAUCGGAAUCUACUUUUUCGUGGGGGAUAACGUAGGGAAACUUACGCUAAUACCGCAUACGACCUACGGGUGAAAGCAGGGGAUCUUCGGACCUUGCGCGAUUGAAUGAGCCGAUGUCGGAUUAGCCAGUUGGCGGGGUAAAGGCCCACCAAGGCGACGAUCCGUAGCUUGUCUGAGAGGAUGGUCAGCCACACUGGAACUGAGACACGGUCCAGACUCCUACGGGAGGCAGCAGUGGGGAAUAUUGGACAAUGGGCGCAAGCCUGAUCCAGCCAUACCGCGUGAGUGAAGAAGGCCUUCGGGUUGUAAAGCCCUUUUGUUGGGAAAGAAAAGCAGCAGGUUAAUACCCCGCUGUUCUGACGGUACCCAAAGAAUAAGCACCGGCUAACUUCGUG